This 430-nucleotide ribosomal RNA is filed under the name Bacillota bacterium. RNAcentral describes it as "Firmicutes bacterium partial 16S ribosomal RNA". It matches the Rfam family "Bacterial small subunit ribosomal RNA", at positions 355 to 776 of the family's 1533-position model. Lineage: Bacteria; Bacillati; Bacillota. The record is from RNAcentral.
UGGGGAAUAUUGGACAAUGGGGGGAACCCUGAUCCAGCCAUGCCGCGUGUGUGAAGAAGGCCUUAUGGUUGUAAAGCACUUUAAGCGAGGAGGAGGCUCUCUUGGUUAAUACCCAAGAAGAGUGGACGUUACUCGCAGAAUAAGCACCGGCUAACUCUGUGCCAGCAGCCGCGGUAAUACAGAGGGUGCGAGCGUUAAUCGGAUUUACUGGGCGUAAAGCGUGCGUAGGCGGCUUUUUAAGUCGGCUGUGAAAUCCCCGAGCUUAACUUGGGAAUUGCAUUCGAUACUGGGAAGCUAGAGUAUGGGAGAGGAUGGUAGAAUUCCAGGUGUAGCGGUGAAAUGCGUAGAGAUCUGGAGGAAUACCGAUGGCGAAGGCAGCCAUCUGGCCUAAUACUGACGCUGAGGUACGAAAGCAUGGGGAGCAAACAGG